Theobroma umbraticum is the source of this 2375-nucleotide long non-coding RNA. RefSeq lists it as uncharacterized. The record is from RefSeq and is a predicted model, not a curated record. NCBI's taxonomy places the organism in Eukaryota, Viridiplantae, Streptophyta, Magnoliopsida, Malvales, Malvaceae.
UUCACUUACUAAAAUCGAACUUCUCUUCCUAAUAUCAAUGUUUGGAACUAAACCUACUUCCCUAUCAUCACCUCCAAUCUUAUUCUGGUUUUCCUGACUAUAACUUUUAAAAGCUUCAUUCUCUCAGCUUUUGAAACUCGAUCCUAACCUCGAAGUAAACAGACCACUUUUUUAGCCUUUGCUGAUACUCCUUUUGCCACUUUUCAUAUCAAGUGAAUAUUUCUCCUCUCCCUUUUACUUCUCCUCAAAUUGCUCACUUCUCAUCCCUUCAAUUUUUCUCCCUAUUCUUACCUCUUUUUCUUCAUCUUGCAUCGAUUCCCAACCACACUUAUCUUCUUCCUCCCUAUUGUUUCCAAUUUUCUUAACUUUGGUCUCAUCGUUCUUUAUUCUCAAAUUCCUCUCCUCUUCUUGGACGUUCAUCGCCUCUUUUUUUCCCUUUUUUGGGAAUUGUUCAUCUCCCCUGAUUUUUCUCCACUCAAUUCUUUCAAAUGUCCCUUACGACUCGUAGUCUUUAUUUUUUUUAAAGGCCCAAAUUCAGCUCAUAAUUUUCUUUGAAUUGCAAUUGUUCUCAGCUUUAUUUAGGCUCCCAUCUUUUAACCCUAGUUCGUUAUAUUUCCUCAUUAUUGAGCUUUGAAGUAUUGAGCUCUAAUUUCCUUUCCCAUUAAGCAUUUUCGGCCCACUUUCUUGUCCCUUUCCACUGAGCUAUCACAAUUAAGAUCCAAUCCUCUCUUUGGCUUAACUUCAUGAACCACAGUCCCAUUCACUAACCCUAUUUCCUUUCUGUCAAGCAUUACUUAAUUCUUCUACCUCAUGACUUUAAGCUUUCUCUCUCUAUACCUAGAUCUCCUAUUCUUCUCUUUUAUUCUGACCUAGGGCUAGGACCUUUCAUUUUCAUCAUUCCACUGCCUCCCUUUCUAUAUGCCUCACAUCUCCUUUGUCACUUUUGAUCGAAUCGCACAAUGACUUUUGAAGCAUAUAAACUAUUGGCUUUGAAAAAAUCUGAUCUAAAUAUUUUUCAAUGGUGUACUCUUUGCAAGCACCAUGUCUCUGCUUUAAUUCAAAAUGCCUAUCAUUCUCUCUUUUUUGCUCUAACUUUCACUUAUCCUCAUGUAACUUUCUGACUCACAUAUCUCGUCCAUAAGCUCCAUCUUCUCUUCUCUCUCAUAGCCGCCAUUGCCACCAUGGCUCCACUGUUGUUCCUUUGUUUCCUUUCCUUCAUGGGGCCAUGGAUGGGAUGACAACCUGCUCCUAACAGAGACCAACAUGCACAACUGGUCAAACCUCUCCAUUUUAUAGGCAAUGGGAGAAAUUUUACGCCUAACCAGAGGUUGCAGUAAUGCUUGUGGUUUGAGAAUUCUAUACCAAUAAAUAGGCGAGCCUUUAUUCGUGGACAUCAGGUACUUUUCGAUUCCUACACUACUAAUCAAUUUUACAAUACACCUAACGUUAAGAAUGAUGAGUAUAGUCAAUUUGUGAAUGGUGAUGCCGAUUUGUAUAAAGUUUUAGGGUCCAUAAACAUUUUGAGUACUGACUGGAAAGUGCACAAAGUUUUUUCAAUUUUGUUCAAAGCUAAAGCCAUCGACAAUGACUACAAGGUGUGGUAUCAUUUCUUAGCUGUCAACCUAAUUCUUGUAAAACACUUGAGCAAUGUGACCAAGGAUCAAGUGAUCCUCUUGUAUGCAAUUGUCACAAGAAAAUCCAUUGAUAUUGGGCAAUUGAUCUUCAACAAAAUUAUCAUGUCAACUUCGUUGCCACGUGACGAAUUGUGGUAUUCAUCCUUAAUCACUGCUUUGUGUCAUCAAGUUGGUGUUGUUUGGUCACCCAAUGAAGAAUUGUUGCAUCCAAUGAGUCCAUUGGACAAUAAGAUCAUCAACAAGUUCUACGUGUGUGAGCAAACUGCUACUAGAGGAAGCUCAUUGGUUUCAUCUCAACCACAAUAGUCUAUAGUCUACUUAGAAUCUCUCCAUGUGUCAACGUAUGAAGCAGCUUGAGCGUUGUAAGGACCACUAAGUUGGGUGUUUCAAAGCCAUUGAAGAAAUGAUGUGAGCAUAACUCGAACAUGUCAACAUGGACAUGACUACCUUCCCCACACUACCUGAGGAUCCCACCCACGAUGCUGAUGAUGAUGCUGCUACGAAGGAGGAUGAGGAUUGAUUGCAUCUGCCAAUUUAAGGGAGUACUCUCUUUCUUUACUUUUAAGAACAUUGAGGACAAUGUUCACUUUAAGUUUAAGGGUAAUUAUUAUGUUUUCUUUUGUUUAUCGUAUUUUUAUUUAAACUAGUUCAUUUGCAUGUUAGUAUUAAGAAUGUGUUGAAAUAUUAAGCUAAAGUUGUGCACCAAUAACAAUUGAUUUAUAAGUCUAAUGAUGAAAACCA